Molecule: long non-coding RNA, 2133 nt
Filed under: Vigna radiata
Lineage: Eukaryota; Viridiplantae; Streptophyta; Magnoliopsida; Fabales; Fabaceae
Description: long non-coding RNA (VRAD_LNC000839)
Source: RNAcentral
AGAGCCAGGGAGAAGAAGAAGUUGGAAUGACGGGAAAUGUUUUCUUCAGACACGAGAAAGGCUAAAUUGAAGUGGUUUUAAAAAUUUCAACCCUUCUACUACUGCAAUGUGUCAAUUCCUACUCUUUCUUUUCUCAGGUUUUACAUGCUCCCCAACAAAAAAAAAAAUUGACCUCGAAAAUUAGAUUGACCAGAGAAAAGAGAGGUGGAUACGACUCACUCAUAUCCUCCUAACUUUAGAAAAAUCUUAACUAGACUGAUAUUCAUUUCUCUCUAGGUUACUUAGUAUGGCAUUUGGCUAAAAUACUUAUUGUGCUUCCAUCAGAAACCCUAAUCUAAUAUUUGAUAGUUCUUGAAAAUCUCUUUUACAACCUUCACUAGCCUUACUUCAAACCAACCCUUGACUAAUACUCUAUUACUUACUCUUAUGUCUUCUAAGAACCACCAAUCAUUAGCUUGAUCAUCACAACUUCUGAUUUUUAAUUAACCACUGCCAUGAUUUUGAUCACCGUUAACCACUUUCAUUCUGAGAGUUUCACCACACUAUAUUGAUCUCCAAUACUAAGUAGCAUAUUCUCCAAUUAUACUUUCUUGUUACCAAAGCAAAACUCUUCUCUGUUGCAAUAACAAAACUAAAGUGAACAUUCCUUCUUUGCUCCUUCCAAUUGUCAACUUGAACCAUAUGCAUUUCUUGUCCCUCUAUCUUGUAAUCAAACUUAGACCGGUUCUCUCCUCAACUUAAGAUCACAAGCUUGAUUGAUACCAAUCCAACUUAUGAUACAUCUCAAACUAGGAUUGUCCAAACCGUGCUUUCUCAGCCAAUUUUAGAAACCCACUAGUUAUAACAAUUAAAUUGUCUUAUUAAAUCUCUUUACAAUUUCACUCAAAAUCCUAAUCUUCAUGUUCUUCCACGAACCUUUAUUCAAUCCUUAUCAAACCAAAACUUGAAUCUCCUCUUUGUUCUACCCAUCUAUGAAUUCUUCCUUUCUUCAAAACCAACAUUACCACUUGAAAUCAGAACUUAAAUUUCUCUUUCAUCCAUCUACCCAUUUUCUCUGUUCAAUGCCCUAUAACACUUCAUUCCUUUAAAGUUGACACUGCCACUUGAGAUUGUAGACUCAUCAUUCCUUCUCUCUCAUGACUAUUAUCCCUUGCACAACCUUGGUUUCUACCUUUUCAAAAUUACUAAACACCCUCAAUUGAAUUCCUGAUAACGACAUCACUACUGUUUUAAAGACGCUCCUUACUCAUAAACCACCAACAUCUGAUCUUGAAGAUGCAUCACACACACACGAAACUGAUAAUAACAAGCCCUCCAACAUCCGCUGCGCUACUCUGAUUCCACAUAUCUCCUUACUCAUCUGUUGACUGAAAGAAUGCUCUCUUCAUGCUGAUUGUAAACUACAAAGAUUCACUAGAGAAGAAUCUUCUUCAAAACUGCAAGGAUCUUGCAAAAACUCUGAUAAUUCUUCUCUUCCAUGUUAACCUCGUCAUCUCAUUUCCUCAAUAAUCACUCAUGAUUCUCUUACCUUACCUCUCCUUUCAAAGUUGACUUUCCAUUGUAUUUCUUCCUUUUGUGUUGGAAAUCUUCCAAUCCAAUUCAUGAUCAAACAUUUCUCCUAUUUGAACCCUUGAUACUACCUCAUCCUCUAACUUGAAUUUGAUGCAUUUUCUUGAUAUCAACACUCAUCCUUCCCUGUUUGAUUAUUACUCCACUCAUAACCCUUACAAUACUUCAAUUCUCCUUAAAGACUUUAGUUCUUUCUUCUUAAAAUUUUGGCUCUCCAAAACUGCUCCUCAGCUCCUUUGGUCCAAUUUAACUUCUUAAUCCUUCCUUAAUUCAAGCUUUAAAUCUGCCACUACAUUUCUUCUUUAGAUCUUAACCAUUCUUGAAAUAUCAAACAUGUUGUCAAUCAACACCCAAGGCUACCCUUUUUUCUCAUUAACACUGACUUUUCUUCUAAUCUCUACCGUUACUGUUACACAAACACCCAACUUAUUUUCUCACCCUUUUCACACCACUGCUAACUUCUUCUCUUCUUAUUCUACCUUCGAACUCUACUUUUCUUGAGAACUUCUUCUUGCACGAACUGAAAUUCCAACAAUAACAUGAACAUAGACAUCACAUCAAAAU